GUGGGGAAUAUUGGACAAUGGGCGAAAGCCUGAUCCAGUCAUGCCGCGUGUGUGAAGAAGGUCUUCGGAUUGUAAAGCACUUUAAGUUGGGAGGAAGGGCAGUAAGUUAAUACCUUGCUGUUUUGACGUUACCGACAGAAUAAGCACCGGCUAACUUCGUGCCAGCAGCCGCGGUAAUACGAAGGGUGCAAGCGUUAAUCGGAAUUACUGGGCGUAAAGCGCGCGUAGGUGGUUUUGUAAGUUGGAGGUGAAAUCCCCGGGCUCAACCUGGGAACUGCCUCCAAAACUGCAUGACUAGAGUACGGUAGAGGGUAGUGGAAUUUCCUGUGUAGCGGUGAAAUGCGUAGAUAUAGGAAGGAACACCAGUGGCGAAGGCGACUACCUGGACUGAUACUGACACUGAGGUGCGAAAGCGUGGGGAGCAAACAGGAUUAGAAACCCUUGUAGUCC
This 450-nucleotide ribosomal RNA is filed under the name uncultured bacterium. RNAcentral describes it as "partial 16S ribosomal RNA". It matches the Rfam family "Bacterial small subunit ribosomal RNA", at positions 354 to 796 of the family's 1533-position model. The record is from RNAcentral.